UCUCCUCCACCCACUGCCCCCUCCCCCACCCUCUCUCUGCUCCUCCGCCCACUGCUCUCCCUCUCUCUCAUAUCCCAGCUCCUCUUCUUUGCCUCCCUCUCUCUCAUCUCCAAAUUUUUUUGGUUUAAUGGAGGACAGAGGAACUAGAUCUGUUUUCUCUCUCCUUCGACACCCACUUCCGGUCAUCACCGUGACUCACCUCCACCAUCUCCGACCUCCGACGAUGGAGUUUAUGCUGCCGACCUAGCUAGGUGAAGUGUGAUGGAAAUAAUGGUUGGUUAACUUGGUUUCUUGUCUAAAAUAGGUUGAAAUGUUUGCAGACUCGUGGGGUGCGAUUUGGGCAAGCAAAUGAGCAUACGGCUAUUGGUUUCGCUGAGGUAUGUUAUGGUGUGUAUCCAAAUUUACUUUCCCAGGCUAUGAAGCUCUCUUCAAUUGCAUUAUAAUUGAAAGUUCUUUUCUGGUUAAGUGAUAUCGAUUUUCCCUUAUAGUGUUGUUCAGCUUUUUGCUUAUAGUGCUGUUCAGCUUUUUGAUAAAUAACAAUAGUUUGAAUGACAAUUUUGAAAAUGAAGCAGCUUAUCGGUAUGUGCAAUACUUUUGUUCGUUGAAGUUCUACCUUGUUUUCUGGUUCACCUCCACGGUAAUGGCUGUUAUAUAUAAAGACAUUAUCUUACACCAGUAAUGAUUCUAAUGAAACAGUAGAAGGUUUUUCAGCUUUUAAACAGUACAAGCUCCAUGUCAUAAAUUUCCAAUAAUGGCUGUUAAAUUUCCACUGUAAAGUUGGAACAACUACUUUAUUACCAUUACCUCUGUGUUAUACUUUAUUACUUCCAGAACAGGGUCUUAUCUUUGUUGUAGACAGCAAUGACAGAGGUCGUGUUGUUGAGGCAAGGGAUGAAUUCCACAGGAUGUAGAAUGAGGUUUGUUCUCAUCUUGUGAGAGCACGUUUACAGACAUGAGCUAAAUUAUCUUCUAUAUACAUUAAUUUGUAAUUGAUCAUAUACAACCACACACUCAGAUGGUUUUGUAUUCUACAUUUGCAAUUUGGAUUCUUAUGAUUUUUAUCCCAGGAUAAGCACUGCAUGUCUUUUGGUAAUUCUUUCACAAGUAUAUCGGUAAGACAUUUUAUUUAUAUGUUGCUGUGAUCAUAUAUGCAUCUUUAUCUUAGUUUCUGGUGCGCUUUCACUGCAGGCCUGGCUUGAUUUUCCUCUCAUUGCUUGCCUCAGAUAUUGGCAGCCACUGGAUGCAGAUGUACAGGCAAGGGUAGUUACAAAGAUGUGAAAGACAUCACUAAUUGGCUAUGUCUUUCAAUGAUUCAUCACUUCAUGCACUAACCCAACUUGCCUCAUGUCCUGGGCUACAAUGCCUUCAUCUGCGGCUUUGGUUUUCGGUGGUGAGUUAAUAGUUAUACUGAAUGCAUGUCAAUUUAUGUUUGCAUAAUUUAAAUGUGAAAUUUCUUUGCAGAAAGAAAUACCCAAAAACGUACACGCAUUUACAAACCUCAAGCAAUUGCACUUGGAAGCUGCAAGAGUGGAAAAAUGGAUCAUAUUUGCUUUAUGUUACUCAUUUGAUAAUGUUAAUUUCUUUCCCUAUGGCCCUAGGAAAAAGCGCUGGAACAACUCAAGGUAACAGAAAGCAAGACAGUUGCAGUAAGGCAAAAGAUGGACUUGGUGUUCUAUACGCUACAUAGAUUUUGACCUCAUUUCUAAGAGCAUUGAGAAAGCGAAAAAGUAAGUUGUGGCCUGAGCAUUGAGAUAUGGAGGCCCUUGGUUGAAGAGAAGAGCUGGGUUAGGCAUGGGUAUGGUUGUAGCCUAUAAUCCAAGUCUCCAUUAUCUCAUUGAAUCUCAUGGUUUUGUUGAAGAGGAUGCAAAAUCUUUUACAAUUUCUUUGCUUCUUUAAUGUAAAGCACUUCAUUGUAAAUGUUUGAAGUAUGUUUAUUGUAGAGAAAUAAAAGUAUUAUUAUGUUCA
Rosa chinensis is the source of this 1965-nucleotide RNA transcript. It is a transcript of the gene named CDP-diacylglycerol--inositol 3-phosphatidyltransferase 1, with no coding region annotated. Lineage: Eukaryota; Viridiplantae; Streptophyta; Magnoliopsida; Rosales; Rosaceae. The record is from RefSeq and is a predicted model, not a curated record. The transcript is spliced from 2 exons.